GAUGAAAGAACGUAGUGAAAUGCGAUAAUUAAUGUGAAUUGCAGAAUUCAGUGAAUCAUCGAGUCUUUGAACGCACAUUGCGCCCCCUGGUAUUCCGGGGGGCAUGCCUGUCCGAGCGUCAUUGCUGCCCUCAAGCACGGCUUGUGUGUUGGGCUUCCGUCCCUGGCAACGGGGACGGGCCCAAAAGGCAGUGGCGGCACCAUGUCUGGUCCUCGAGCGUAUGGGGCUUUGUCACCCGCUCCCGUAGGUCCAGCUGGCAGCUAGCCUCGCAACCAAUCUUUUUAACCAGGUUGACCUCGGAUCAGGUAGGGAUACCCGCUGAACUUAAGCAUAUCAAUAAGCGGAGGA
RNAcentral lists this unclassified non-coding RNA (348 nucleotides) under soil metagenome. Its description in RNAcentral is "partial contains 5.8S ribosomal RNA, internal transcribed spacer 2, and large subunit ribosomal RNA". The stretch from base 6 to 121 matches the Rfam family "5.8S ribosomal RNA", at positions 39 to 154 of the family's 154-position model. The record is from RNAcentral.